UGGGGAAUAUUGCACAAUGGGCGCAAGCCUGAUGCAGCCAUGCCGCGUGUAUGAAGAAGGCCUUCGGGUUGUAAAGUACUUUCAGCGGGGAGGAAGGGAGUAAAGUUAAUACCUUUGCUUAUUGACGUUACCCGCAGAAGAAGCACCGGCUAACUCCGUGCCAGCAGCCGCGGUAAUACGGAGGGUGCAAGCGUUAAUCGGAAUUACUGGGCGUAAAGCGCACGCAGGCGGUUUGUUAAGUCAGAUGUGAAAUCCCCGGGCUCAACCUGGGAACUGCAUCUGAUACUGGCAAGCUUGAGUCUCGUAGAGGGGGGUAGAAUUCCAGGUGUAGCGGUGAAAUGCGUAGAGAUCUGGAGGAAUACCGGUGGCGAAGGCGGCCCCCUGGACGAAGACUGACGCUCAGGUGCGAAAGCGUGGGGAGCAAACAGG
This 429-nucleotide ribosomal RNA is filed under the name Chloroflexota bacterium. RNAcentral describes it as "Chloroflexi bacterium partial 16S ribosomal RNA". It matches the Rfam family "Bacterial small subunit ribosomal RNA", at positions 355 to 776 of the family's 1533-position model. Lineage: Bacteria; Bacillati; Chloroflexota. The record is from RNAcentral.